AUGUCAUUGACCCACGGCGGAUCCAGAGCGCCAAGUGUUUCCUAUCCCACCUCCUGCCACAGUCGUCUGGAGCGAAGGCAGACACCCACCCUAGGCAAGGCCCUUGAGCAUUAUCUACCAUGGUUUGCCAUGGAAUCUUCCAGAAAAAAUGGAGUCCAACAAGAAAGAACAAAGAUCAGAUCAAAAGUGACUGAAGAGGGGCUUCCCUGGUGGCUCGGAGGUAAAGAAUCCACCUGCCAAUGCAGGGUACACGGGUUCCCCUGACUGGGGGAAAUUCACAAUUGCUGUCACCAGAACUACUGAACCUGUGCUCUAGAGCCUGGAGGCUACUGCUGAGCCCACCCGCCACAACCACUGAAGCAUGCACUCCCUAAAGCCUGUGCUCUGCAGCAGGAGAAGCCACCGCAAUGAGAGGCCUGCACCCCAUAACUGGAGAGUAGCCCCCAGUCUCCACAGCUAGAGGCAAGCCCCUGCAGCAAUGAAGACCAAGCACAGCCAAAAUAAAUUAAUAAAUAAAAUCAUUUUUUUAAGUGACUGAAGAGGUAUAGACUGUGUAAGCCCCGUGCAAAGCUAACCAGGGCUACCCUUUGUUGUCAGUCCAUUGCUGUUAAUGUAAAAACAAUGAUAUGUAAUAAAAAGAGUAUUAACCAUGUCUGAGGUUCUGUUUGGGUUCUAGCUGUGCUCUGACAGACAGUAAGGAAAGCUUGGGCUUCCUUACUUCUCUUGGCUUUGGACUAUCCUUUGAGUUCUCUUACUUCAUAAAGCAGGACUUAGAGAUCUAGAAUUCAGUGAUCAACUAAGGAUUCACUCUUGACUAAAUUUGCCUGUCAGUUUGAUUAGGAAAAACAAGGAGAUGAAGGCAGAUGUUUGCCAUCAGAAUCACUCCCUGAGGCUCUACAAGGAAAAUAGUCCCAGCUUACAGCACUUAAGCAGACACAAAAAAUAUGCAUGUAGGCAUUUCCUUUUCUUCACCUGGCAACUCUUGCAAUUCUUCACACCUCGGCCCUGACAUUUCCACACCCUCCACUUCACCCCUGCAUCUGCUUAGUUCCCCUGAAGUCCUUCCACGGUACCAAACGUGUACCCCUCAUGGUCAUCUUUUGUCUCACUGACUUCCAAUCUUCUGAUGAAUACACAGUCUCCACUAGAUUGUCAGUUCCUUUAUGAAGCUGAAUGGGUUUUUGUGCAAAGGAAAAUUAUUCCUAAAGCAAAAUGAAAGGUUCACUCACAGAAACCUCUCGUUUAGGUUGUGUCCAAAUUAAGAAAUCAUUCAAAGAUUUCUAAAAGACAUAAGAUCAAGUUAUACAUUAAAAUGUAACUGGAUUGAUAUCCUAGAAAUAAAGAAAAAAAACAGAACUUAGAAAUUAAAAACAAAAAAACAAACACAGAGGAAGUUUCUGAGAAGACGGUGGAAUAGGAAGCAUCAGAAAUGUAUCUCCCCUCCUAGACAAAAAUUGCACUGACCAACUCUGUCUAAGGCAACUUGUUUGGAACUCUGGAGACUAUAGAGGGCCUGAAACUUCCAGGGGAAGGCUUGGACUGUAAAUUUUAGUCAAUACUGGUCAAUUUCAGCUCUUAGUAUUAGCACCCACCUCUCAGCCCUAUGGCAGGCAGCUAUGCACAUACUCCUGAAGCAGCUUGUACCCAGUUUGCACAGCCGUGGGAGUGAGGAUGUCCUCCAAAUGUUAGAA
This 1691-nucleotide long non-coding RNA is filed under the name Bos grunniens (domestic yak). Its description in RNAcentral is "lncRNA (ENSBGRG00000017738.1)". Lineage: Eukaryota; Metazoa; Chordata; Mammalia; Artiodactyla; Bovidae. The record is from RNAcentral.